UACGUAGGGGGCAAGCGUUAUCCGGAUUUACUGGGUGUAAAGGGAGCGUAGACGGCUGUGCAAGUCUGAAGUGAAAGGCAUGGGCUCAACCUAUGGACUGCUUUGGAAACUGUGCAGCUAGAGUGUCGGAGAGGUAAGUGGAAUUCCUAGUGUAGCGGUGAAAUGCGUAGAUAUUAGGAGGAACACCAGUGGCGAAGGCGGCUUACUGGACGAUGACUGACGUUGAGGCUCGAAAGCGUGGGGAGCAAAC
This 250-nucleotide ribosomal RNA is filed under the name uncultured Dorea sp. Its description in RNAcentral is "partial 16S ribosomal RNA". It matches the Rfam family "Bacterial small subunit ribosomal RNA", at positions 524 to 773 of the family's 1533-position model. The record is from RNAcentral. Lineage: Bacteria; Bacillati; Bacillota; Clostridia; Lachnospirales; Lachnospiraceae.